GGCAAUUCCAGUGAGAACCUCUUGACCGGUUUCGUUCUAUGGGCCAUUUGUUUGAUUUCUCCGAUCAGAAUGGAUAAUUAACUUGUCUAUGGUUCCCGAACAAUCUGACAGACGGCCGUGAUUAGUCUUACUUGCCAAGUCAAAUGGUUCUUCUUCUUCUUCUUCUUUUGCGAUACAACCCCUACCUCUUUGUUUUAUAGCGUUUUUAACCUAACAUCAAU
RNAcentral lists this unclassified non-coding RNA (221 nucleotides) under Hevea brasiliensis (rubber tree). The record is from RNAcentral. Lineage: Eukaryota; Viridiplantae; Streptophyta; Magnoliopsida; Malpighiales; Euphorbiaceae.